UGAGAAUGCUUGCCUACAUCUGGUGUGAAA
RNAcentral lists this non-coding RNA (30 nucleotides) under Rattus norvegicus (Norway rat). The record is from RNAcentral. Lineage: Eukaryota; Metazoa; Chordata; Mammalia; Rodentia; Muridae.